GAUGAACGCUGGCGGCGUGCCUAAUACAUGCAAGUCGAGCGAACAGAUGAGGAGCUUGCUCCUCUGACGUUAGCAGCGGACGGGUGAGUAACACGUGGAUAACCUACCUAUAAGACUGGGAUAACUUCGGGAAACCGGAGCUAAUACCGGAUAAUAUAUUGAACCGCAUGGUUCAAUAGUGAAAGACGGUUUUGCUGUCACUUAUAGAUGGAUCCGCGCCGCAUUAGCUAGUUGGUAAGGUAACGGCUUACCAAGGCAACGAUGCGUAGUCGACCUGAGAGGGUGAUCGGCCACACUGGAACUGAGACACGGUCCAGACUCCUACGGGAGGCAGCAGUAGGGAAUCUUCCGCAAUGGGCGAAAGCCUGACGGAGCAACGCCGCGUGAGUGAUGAAGGUCUUCGGAUCGUAAAACUCUGUUAUUAGGGAAGAACAAAUGUGUAAGUAACUAUGCACGUCUUGACGGUACCUAAUCAGAAAGCCACGGCUAACUACGUG
RNAcentral lists this ribosomal RNA (497 nucleotides) under uncultured bacterium. RNAcentral's name for it is "partial 16S ribosomal RNA". It matches the Rfam family "Bacterial small subunit ribosomal RNA", at positions 28 to 507 of the family's 1533-position model. The record is from RNAcentral.